UGUGUAGGCGGAUACUUAAGUCGGGGGUGAAAUCCCAGGGCUCAACCCUGGAAUUGCCUUCGAUACUGGGUAUCUUGAGUUCGGAAGAGGUAAGUGGAACUCCGAGUGUAGAGGUGAAAUUCGUAGAUAUUCGGAAGAACACCAGUGGCGAAGGCGACUUACUGGUCCGAUACUGACGCUGAAACACGAAAGCGUGGGGAGCAAACAAG
RNAcentral lists this ribosomal RNA (209 nucleotides) under uncultured bacterium. Its description in RNAcentral is "partial 16S ribosomal RNA". It matches the Rfam family "Bacterial small subunit ribosomal RNA", at positions 568 to 776 of the family's 1533-position model. The record is from RNAcentral.